AGUGAACGCUGGCGGUAGGCCUAACACAUGCAAGUCGAACGGCAGCACAGUAAGAGCUUGCUCUUACGGGUGGCGAGUGGCGGACGGGUGAGGAAUACAUCGGAAUCUACUUUUUCGUGGGGGAUAACGUAGGGAAACUUACGCUAAUACCGCAUACGAUCUACGGGUGAAAGCAGGGGAUCUUCGGACCUUGCGCGAUUGAAUGAGCCGAUGCCGGAUUAGCUAGUUGGCGGGGUAAAGGCCCACCAAGGCAACGAUCCGUAGCUGGUCUGAGAGGAUGAUCAGCCACACUGGAACUGAGACACGGUCCAGACUCCUACGGGAGGCAGCAGUGGGGAAUAUUGGACAAUGGGCGCAAGCCUGAUCCAGCCAUACCGCGUGAGUGAAGAAGGCCUUCGGGUUGUAAAGCCCUUUUGUUGGGAAAGAAAAGCAGCAGGUUAAUACCCCGCUGUUCUGACGGUACCCAAAGAAUAAGCACCGGCUAACUUCGUG
This 492-nucleotide ribosomal RNA is filed under the name uncultured bacterium. RNAcentral describes it as "partial 16S ribosomal RNA". It matches the Rfam family "Bacterial small subunit ribosomal RNA", at positions 29 to 507 of the family's 1533-position model. The record is from RNAcentral.